Non-coding RNA from Pelobates cultripes (western spadefoot toad), 106 nucleotides. Lineage: Eukaryota; Metazoa; Chordata; Amphibia; Anura; Pelobatidae. The record is from the annotation of a GenBank genome assembly.
CUAACUGCCAUGCUCCCUCGGGGUUCCCAUAAUUCCCAGCACAGUGAUUACUCUAUGAUGUGUAGAUGCUGGGAAUUAUGGGAACCGCGAGGGAGCAUGGUAGUUA